Molecule: unclassified non-coding RNA, 795 nt
Filed under: Hevea brasiliensis (rubber tree)
Lineage: Eukaryota; Viridiplantae; Streptophyta; Magnoliopsida; Malpighiales; Euphorbiaceae
Source: RNAcentral
UCCACUUGUGUUCCCAGAAGACUAUUUAUGACAGGAUGAGCGAGCAGUUCUCCGAAGUUGUAGAUGUUAUCUCCCAAAAGCGCAGAAAGAGAGAGGUCAAAUGCCAAAUCCAGUUUAAAUGGUUCUGAGAGUGAUUCCACAGAUGUGUAUGCCAGAUAAAGAAGAGCACUUUUGUAGAACUCAGCAAAUUCUUGACGAUAUUUAUGGUACUGAGAUGAAACCCAAUAAUAAUUGGCAUACACAGAUGGAUCAAUAUCAGUCAUGCUGUCUAAUGUACUCUUUCCUUCUUCUAGAAGCUGCUUGCACUCUUUUUGAUCCCCUUGUUCAAUCUUGAAGAUAGCUAAUUGCAUCUUAAUGUAAAGAAUUGGCUCCUCAAUGUGUUGUUCUCUAGUUGCUCGAAGCUUUUCAAUCACCCCUUCAAGAUAGCUAAUGGCAGCAUUUUUCUCUUUAUACUGCUUAGAAACUAUAACCGCGAAAUGUGCAAGCUUGAGUAGAUUAAUUUUGGUCUCAAAAUCAGAGAUAAAAUUAUGAUACAGUUGUAUCAAUGUAUCACCAGCCUGAACGACAGCGAAAGCAACGAACUGCUCAAGCUUGAGAGUGAGUUGGUGCCACAGCUUCUUCUGGUACAGAUCUGCGAGUGAAUUGUACCACUCGGCGUGUUCGGGAUGCGCGUUGCUAAGAGACUCCAGAUAGAUACUGUAGAGCAGCCAUGGCGGAUAUUUUCACGUUGUUUGGUUGCUUGAAAUUUCAAUUUAUAUUUGAGAAAUCUGAAAAACCAAAACCCCUCUCGCUGCC